Vicugna pacos (alpaca) is the source of this 2986-nucleotide non-coding RNA. NCBI's taxonomy places the organism in Eukaryota, Metazoa, Chordata, Mammalia, Artiodactyla, Camelidae. The record is from RefSeq and is a predicted model, not a curated record.
UCCAGCUCCCCUAGUGGAGGGCAGAGACCCCAGCCGCUGGCGACCCGUGGCAGGAGUGCUGUGGCGGGGAGACAGCGACAGCUGAUGUAUGUUGCAGGCGUGCCGUGUUCUGUGCGGCGCCCAGCUCUGAGUGUCCUCAGGAUGACAUUCUGGGCAUCUGCGAAGCCCCGUUUCCUGGGUGGUGAGGCCAGUAAACUGAGGCACAGUCCCUGGGGACGCUGGGCCCAUAUCCUGUCCGUGUGCCCGGCAGCCCUGUCCCCUCACCUGCAAGGUGGGCCCACUGCAUCAGAGUCCCGCCGUUUCUGCAGGCGUGUGGCCUUCUACAGGACAGACACUCGAUGGCUGUGCCACAGUGAGGCCUUAGCCAGCCGUCUCCGGUUAUCGGGCCAGGUCAGGAGCCAACCUCAGCUCCUGAGGGGAGGGAGCCUCCACAGAGAUGCCCAGUGACACUUCCCUGAUGAUUCUAGGGCCGCGGACACUCCAGGUUUUGUGGUCAGUGGAGCCCAGCCUCAGAGACACUGUGCCCACCCUGGACCGCGGUGCUAGCUGCUCUGUGACCCAGGCCCGUGGGUCCAAGCCCUUGGUGGCGGGAGCUCCUGGGGCCUGUUGUCUGCCUCUGGGCUGCCUCAGGUGGUGACUGCCUGGGGCUUGGAGAGCGCACCCCACCUCCCGCAGCCUCAAGUCCUGGGCCACUUCCGCCAGCCUCCUUGUCACCGGAGUUCACCAUACUCCUUUGAAUUCAGUUUUCCGGUGGGGAACGGAGAGGCCAGGGCACAGCCGGGUGCCUGCGGGUGGACUCGGCUGUGCUCUGGGGGAAGGGGGCGGGCUGCCCGGGGGCCUCAGUGCAGACACCCAGGACUGUGCCCCCAGGCCACCUCCCGGAGGCCUGCUCCAGGCGGCUGGUGUGUGAAGCUCUGGGCGGAGCAGACGCAUCCUGGGUCCCAGGCUCUCGGGGCAAUGAGCGCUCUCCUCAGCCACCAUCCAGUGGAGUGAAGUGACCCAGCUUCCUGUUCUGCCCCUCCCCCCAGCAGCUGGCCGUGAGCCUGAGAGACUGUCCUUCCUCCUGGGGGGCACGUCAGGGGAACCGACGACUUCGGAGUUUACAGCAAUUCUUAAGGUUGAGUCCUGACACUGGUCUCGCUGGGCUAAAAUCAAAGUGUGAGGGGGCUGGUUCCCACUGGAGGCUCCGAGGAGAAUCCACAUCCGUCCUGGGCCAUUUCCAGUCCUGAGGGCCCCGAGUCCCUCUGCUCCUGAACCCCUCCUGCAUCUUCUGGGCCAGUAGCAUCGGGCUGAGUUUUCAGGACUAGCAACCUGUACCCCCUUUCCAGGAGCAAGGGCUGCUGGCUGAGGUGUUGUGGAGCGACAUGGAUUCUGGCGAAGCAGGCUUCAGCUCAGGACUGCAGUCACCAUGCCCAGGCGGGGUUUCCAGAGGCCCUCCUGCAGAGGCUGCCUGUUGGGACUUUCCCGCUGUGGAUGGCCAGAGUUUCUCGGGUCAGCAUCUCCAGUCCGGUCGAGAGGAGCCUGGUCCCCCGACCUUGAUCCCCCACAGCUCUUGGCACGUAGAAGCGCUCAGUGUAAAGUCUUUAACUGGUUUGCUGUUCAUACCAAAUUGGCACACUCGUCAUUAGUCCCUGGCGCCCUGCACGAGACGCCCUCUAACAGGCGGGUUGGGCUGGGGAGGAGGCGUGACGGCGCCUCACCCCGAGCUGGUGGUGACGCUGCUCCUCAUCUCCGGUUUUCACUGAAGAAAGGGAAGGCGGUGAUUUUUGCCCACCUGCUACAUGAGGGUUUCAGAGCUCACAAGCUGGACGGAUGUACGGGUGGACACAAAAAGUAUUUUUGCGAAAUAUGCAUUACACAAUUGUGAGCUGUUGCUCUGGGCACAGCUCCCUCAUCUGAAAGCAGAGCUUCUCCUGGAAGGCGUCCGGAGGGCUUCCGCACCCCUGGUCCCUGCCGUGCUGCCGUUCCGUCAGUUCCGCGAGCAGCCUCUCCACGCAGCCCCGCGGGGCAGAGCUGCACCUGCUGCGUGUUUGAGCGCCUCCGCCCCCGCCGCUCCCCCGGUCUGGGUAAAACCCUGGUUGACACUGACCAGAACCCAGUGUGACUGAGCCACCCUGGGCACAGCGGGCACUGUAAUCCGUCAAUUUGGGGAAUUAAUCUGUGGAAGAAUGAACCAGAGGCAGGGGUCAGGCAGUAGGAGGCCAGCCCACUGUUAGGUCGGCUCUCCACAGGGGGCUAAUGAGACCCACGCUGGCCAGUCCUGCCCUUCCCGGCCAGGUCCAUGCUGCCUGCUCCUCUGCAGGUCUGUCCUCUCGCCGCCCGGGGCCAGAGGCAGCUCUGCCCCGCCGGCUGCCCCAGCCCUUCCCAGAGAGUCUUGUCCCCUCGGCCUGAGCCGUGACGUGGGAGGACUGCCAGCAGAAUGGUUCCCUGGCUUGGUUUCCCUUCCAGAAAACCUCUGUCCAAACCCAGAAGCCAUUCCAGGAGAGCGUGUCUGAGGGCCUCUGCCCAGGGCCAGCCUGUGGGUCCGCACGGCCUGCCCCGAAUGGCCACAACACUGGUCCCUCAGUGCCAUGCCCAGUUGGGUCAUCGGCCCGGCUGGGCCCGGAAGGACAGGUGGCCGCCUGGGGGACAGCCUGGGGCCGGUGUUAGUCUCAGAGGCACUUGCUUGCGCCAGAGGUACUUUGCUUCCUGGGGGACGCUUGCUCUUUGGAUGUUGCCUGAUGCUCAGCUCAGCGCCUGACAUGGGGCGUGUUUUGGGCGGGGAGCUUUGGAAAGGCCGUGAGGCUUCAGAAAGGUGGCUUGCCCGGCGGGGAGGCCCCCUCCCAGAGGCCCUGGAACGGAUGUGUCCUGAGGCACGCUGCUCAGCGAAGCUGCCAGGGCCUGGGGGCUGCAGGCAAGAUCGUGCUCCCACGUGAGCAUUGGACGGGAAGGGCUUAUCAUCUCCAGUGUGGCGUUUACUUGUCUGUACUAACACGUGAUGUGUGCA